CCUUGGAGAUAAUGUCACAGCUGAAGUGAGACUUUGAAACCUGCUUGCUCAUAACCUUUUGUCAAUAAGUUGGAAAUGAAAGACUCUACUUCCCUGUGAUAUCCUCAACAGUCAAAAUCACCUGGCUUAUCAAUGGACCAGCAUGGCUUUCCCCAUAAGAAUUUACUGCACGCUGCGGACUGGAGCUGCAGGCGGAGCUCACUUGUCUUCAGGACAGUGUGAUGGCGUUACCUGAGGAAGGGACCGAGCAUGUCAUGAAUCGGCGCCUUCAGGCUUCCUCUUCUGGACUCCCUGUAUUCCAAAGAGCACCUUACACAGAUAGCUGAUUGGCUGUCUACCUGGUAAGAGAAAUGGCUGCUUCUGGGAUCAGCAGAGACAAAAGAAAAGGCCGUGAACAGGGAGAGGAGUGGGCAUAGUUAGGGCUUCGAAGGC
This 432-nucleotide long non-coding RNA is filed under the name Mus spicilegus (steppe mouse). RNAcentral describes it as "lncRNA (ENSMSIG00000030910.1)". Lineage: Eukaryota; Metazoa; Chordata; Mammalia; Rodentia; Muridae. The record is from RNAcentral.